GUUUUAAUAGUUUAAUAAAAACAUUGGUCUUGUAAACCAAAAAUAAGACACUGUCUUUUAAAACU
Molecule: transfer RNA, 65 nt
Filed under: Bactrocera ritsemai
Lineage: Eukaryota; Metazoa; Arthropoda; Insecta; Diptera; Tephritidae
Also listed under: 1 other name
Description: tRNA-Thr
Rfam family: tRNA
About the family: Transfer RNA (tRNA) molecules are approximately 80 nucleotides in length. Their secondary structure includes four short double-helical elements and three loops (D, anti-codon, and T loops). Further hydrogen bonds mediate the characteristic L-shaped molecular structure. tRNAs have two regions of fundamental functional importance: the anti-codon, which is responsible for specific mRNA codon recognition, and the 3' end, to which the tRNAs corresponding amino acid is attached (by aminoacyl-tRNA synthetases). tRNAs cope with the degeneracy of the genetic code in two manners: having more than one tRNA (with a specific anti-codon) for a particular amino acid; and 'wobble' base-pairing, i.e. permitting non-standard base-pairing at the 3rd anti-codon position.
Source: RNAcentral